GAUGAAGAACGUAGCGAAAUGCGAUAAGUAAUGUGAGUUGCAGAAUUCAGUGAAUCAUCGAAUCUUUGAACGCACAUUGCGCCCAUUAGUAUUCUAGUGGGCAUGCCUGUUCGAGCGUCAUUUCAACCCUUAAGCCUAGCUUAGUGUUGGGAGACUGCCUAAUACGCAGCUCCUCAAAACCAGUGGCGGAGUCUGUUCGUGCUCUGAGCGUAGUAAUUUUUUAUCUCGCUUCUGCAAGCCGGCCAGACGACAGCCAUAAACCGCACCCUCUCGGGGGGCACUUUUUUAAUGGUUGACCUCGGAUCAGGUAGGAAUACCCGCUGAACUUAAGCAUAUCAAUAAGCGGAGGA
RNAcentral lists this unclassified non-coding RNA (350 nucleotides) under soil metagenome. RNAcentral describes it as "partial contains 5.8S ribosomal RNA, internal transcribed spacer 2, and large subunit ribosomal RNA". The stretch from base 1 to 120 matches the Rfam family "5.8S ribosomal RNA", at positions 35 to 154 of the family's 154-position model. The record is from RNAcentral.